Nasonia vitripennis (jewel wasp) is the source of this 1044-nucleotide long non-coding RNA. RefSeq lists it as uncharacterized. NCBI's taxonomy places the organism in Eukaryota, Metazoa, Arthropoda, Insecta, Hymenoptera, Pteromalidae. The transcript has 2 exons. The record is from RefSeq and is a predicted model, not a curated record.
UCUUGUGUACACACACACGCGCACCACGAGGAGCGAACCAUGCGCGCGGUAUAUAGGUAUCGUCGCAUGGAACAAAGCAAGCCCUGUUGUUUCGGUCAUGUAUUGAUUUUUUAAAGCGCGUUGAUUUUGGACGAGACCAUCGCAGAUAUAGGCAAUCAUGUAUAUGUAUGCCGAGCGCACGUUGGAGAGAAUUUUUCACGCCCGCGCUUUCAAGGUCAUGUUUGGUCGUUAUCAGGCGAAAAUUGCCGAGAGCGUGUGCGGAGUGCAGACGGGCGAAAUGGGCGCUGUUUGAAAACAAAAGAGAUCUAACCUCACUUUUCGCGCGAAGGGAAGGGGGCAGCGCAACGUGUGUUUGUUAUUAUGUCAUCAAAACAAAUCUCUCACAAUGCGAUCUUUCUCUUCUCGCUCGCGAUCGCCAUGACGCCAUGCCUUUUUUUAAAACUUCGAACAGUUCUCCCGAAUUGGCGCUUUUUUAAUUAUAUCAGAGUUUUCCGCCAUUUUUUUAUAACUUUUAUUUUUUUGCAGAAAAUUAUAUCUUGAUCGUGAUGCAAAUUUAAAAAACAACCGAAUCACGUGGUAAUAAAAAUUCAAUAUGGCCAUUAGAAAGGCAGCAGUACGUACUUAUAUGUAUGCUAUUGCAGAUAAAACUUUCAGCCAACGAUCAGUAGUGUAUAUAAGUUACCUGAUUGGUAAAUAGUAAAAAAAAACGAACUUUGAGCAUAAACAAUGUUGUCAAACUUGUUUUCCUCACACCUACCACAAGUCGCGAAUUGAGAGUUAUCAAAAUUACACAUAGUUGUUCUACUUAUACCUGGCUUCAAUAAUCUAUUUAUUAGUUAAUGUGGCUAGAUACUUCUUAUCUUAAAAAUUCUCAAUAACCAACUGAAUUGUAGUAAUGGGCCGCUAAAACAGCUACAGCUUAUCUCAAGAUAUAAUUGAAAUGUAAUCAACAACUUUCGUUGUUGAUGUAAUAAAAAACGUCAAGUAAAAUACAGUUUGGCGUGCACAAUUUUGAAUAAAAAGGAUUUUGCGAAACAUUAAAAA